CUUCCACCCAUCUCUGUCCCCUUGCCUCUUGUGUUUAUUCCUCAACCACGGCUGGAACUGGAUUUGGUGUGGAAGUCAUGGAGCUCGCCAAGAAGGUUCACUCCUUGCCGAAGACUUCCAAGUAGUUUUGCUCGUCGACAAGCACAUAUCAAGUUCACGCCCAUCAUCAUCAUUUCAUGUCUCCAGGUUUCCCUCCUCCAUGACUCUUAACUUUAUUUCUCCCAUGUAGGCUCUGCGAGGUUGUUGUUGGCUGCUCGGUUCUUGGUUGUGCUUCUUCUUUACCCACCGAGGAAUCAAAGAAUGCUUUGGUGAAUCUCGUUGGUGGGAAAAACAUCUGUGUACAAGCAGGACCAAGACCAAUUUGGCCGAUACGUCUGUGACAUCUGUUGCGCCCGUGUGUUCAUCCAGGAGCAGAUGUUGAAGAAUGGUCAUGCAUGUCAUUUCAAGAAUUAUGAUUCAGGCCCAGAGUUUUCGGAAGUAAGAAAAUCUACUACAAAAAAAUACACUUGCAGAAUAUGUAGAAGACUUACCCUUUACCUUGUACAUGGCUCUUGCUUAUAGUAGUAAAAGGAGGUUGACAAAAGAAUAAAUAAAUCCAUCAGUCAUAACAUAUGUGCUAAUAUACAACACUAUACCUUGCCACCAAUUGCCAUGAGAACUCAAACACGUUCAAAGAUGGACGUAUAAAGGUACCUCCACAUCAUCAAUAUCAGAAAAAACUUUCUAGAUCAGCAUCCUCUUUACUGUUUUUACCUAAGGAUGACAAAUAGCAUUCAGAAGUUGAUCAGGAGCAAUCAACUUGACAAGAAUGAACCCAAAAAUGUCCAGGUAGACUGAACUGAAAUUACCAUUGCAUGCUCAGGUAACUAAUACACAUUCCAUGUCAGGAUCCUUUAAAGCUACAUGAAAAUGCAAGUAGAAUUGGGUGUAUCAGUGUAUUGUCUCUGCUUCUUUUGAGCAAUCUGUAAUGUGCAAAUAAAUGGAGUCAGAGUCCAUAGGCUGGAGUUUUGCACGCCUGAUCGAGAGGCGUUUGGCCAUUGCAGCAUUUACGAGAGUGUAAUUUUUUAUGUUUGGAGUUAUGUGAUGUAAGCCGCUAAAACGUCAAAAGGGCAGCCCCAGUGCAUGUAGCUCCCGCUUGCGCAGGGUCUGGGGAAGGGUCCGACCACUUUGGGUCUAUUGUACGCAGCCUUUCCCUACAUUUCUGUAAGAGGCUGUUUCCAGGACUUGAACCCGUGACCUCAAGGUCACAAGGCAGCAGCUUUACCACUGCGCCAAGGCUCAAACGUCAAUUCAAAUAAAUUUGUAUGCUGGACGUACGCAUCACAAUCCAUUGAGGUUAGUUGGCCUCCGGCCAUCACACGCCACCUUACUUGCAUGCCUUGAUCUGUAAUGUUCAGUUGUGCAGGCAAUUUCCUGCCAUUGCCUUAUUAUGACCAUUAUUUCCUAUGGAAGCAGUUGUUACAUUCCUGCCCAGUAUAUGAAUCCUUUUAUGUAUGACACCUCAAAACUUUUCGGUUAGUUUAUUUUGUUGUCUUGGAUUCACAACAUCUUUUUACAUGUACCAUCCUCUUAAAAUUGAAAUCCUUGUAGAAACUAAAGGAAGAUAGAUCAUAUAAUUAUGCUAGAUCGUACAUGUUGUUUAGCUCAGAUUUGUACGUGUACAUGCAUUGGCAUGGGUUUAGACAAAAAUAUGGCAUGAUUCUUUACAUAAAAAGCAGAUGCAUAAUCUAAGAAGAAAUGCUCGAGUAAAGUUAGUGAAGAUAUUGUAGGAGUAUCAUGGGCUUACAACUUCUUGGUAUCACUACUUGACUGUUUAUGAUUAUUUGUAAAUCUGGAAAGUCAUUUCGAGAACUGCUGACGAGUGUUGUUCUGAGUUUGUGUUAAAAGAGUUUUGGUUGCAUGUAUGUACAUUUCUAUAGUAGUGGUUCUCAUUUUAAUUUGUUCCGAGUCAGGGCUUUCAUUUUUUUUCUCAGAAUUUGGUUCUUGCUUUUUCAUGGUCGGUGUUAUGAAUGGAAAAACACACUUGGUAUUGGUAUCAAUCAAUUAUAAACAAAGUUGAGUUUAUUUGUAGUGGCCUCUCAUACAGUUUGCCUAUGUCAGUUGCGUAUAUGACCAAAAGUGUGUCACCUACCCAACUGGCUAUGGCCAGCAAAAUGAGCAAUGAGAUCAGCUUACUUUUAAUUACAAAAUAAGUAGAUGCUUGCUUGCGGGUUUAUUUAGAUUUACUUGCCAUUUUUCUCCGUAAUUCCAGUUGUGAUGCCGUCAACCUUUGCUGCCCUCUGCAACUGCGCCGGAUCUAUUUGUGGUUGCAAUGGUUGUUGUGGCAUGGAGAGUCAAUAAGAAUCAUAUGGUAGAUCCCACGGUCAUCACCUUCAGUUCUCUAUUUGUGUCUUGUGCUCUUCUCUUAUCCAAAUUCUUUAAGCCUAUAUACGCCUAGAUUAGUACCUGAUAUCAGCACCUUUAAUUAGCUUAUUCUCAGUCUUGGCUAUUUGGACUACUGUAGAACGACUCGGUUUUUCAAAGUUAGUAGGCUUAUAGACAUGUUUUUAUUUUAAUUUCUUCAGUUUUGUAUUUUUUCAGCUUUAGGUUGCUGCUGCAAGGUUUCAUGUAGGUUAUAGCAAUACAAACGAUAAUAUUAUGAGCAUAUAGCUAUACAAGUGACAAUUACAAGAGUAGUAAAUGAAUGAAUGCUUGAUCAUGUGGGUUAUAAUUUAAUCGAGUGCAGUCAGUUUAUUUAUCAUUCUAAAACAGUACCACUUACACCAAACAUCAGUAUAGUAUCAUGUUCACGUCAGAAUAUAAGAGAUUUAGGAACAGAGGAAGUAGAUGGUAAUUAUGGACAUCAGAGAGGAAUAUAUUUGAUCACAUAUAGUAUAUAGGGACUUUUGUAGAUGCAUGCUACCUGCACAAGCACAUCCCUAUAUGGAUAAAAUUCACUUUAUUAGAGUACUGACAUGAAUAGGAUAGUGCGGUGCAAGACGGUGCUGAUCAGCGGUGGUGGGCGAGGUGGCGAGAAGCGAUGACAUCGGAUGAUACAAUGGUCAGUAGAUAAAAGAUGUUCAUCUCCAUUGCCUAUCGGGGGCCUCUUUGGGGGGCUAAUCUAACAUUAGGCAGCACAGGAGGACAGACGGCUCUCACGGCUUAGGAUGUUGCACAUCAGGUGAACCAUUUGAUGGGCCGUUCAACAUGCUGAUCUUAUUGAUUUGUUCUUGACAUAUCCUCUGUGCUGCUAUAUUUUUUGAAUUACUUGGUUAUAUUAGCAAGUACUAAUGUUUUGUCACUUUUGAGCCACUGGUACUAUAUGUAAUUAGUAUGAACUAAAACUACUGCUUCUGCGUUCAUAUAAGCCUCUUAUUAUCUAUGAUGUCACUGUUUUUCCUUUUAA
Triticum dicoccoides is the source of this 3385-nucleotide long non-coding RNA. RefSeq lists it as uncharacterized. Lineage: Eukaryota; Viridiplantae; Streptophyta; Magnoliopsida; Poales; Poaceae. The record is from RefSeq and is a predicted model, not a curated record. The transcript has 5 exons.